GUGCUCGCUUUGGCAGCACAUAUCCUAAAAUUGGAACAAUCCAGAGAAGAUUAGUGUGGCCCCUACACAAUAAUGACAUGUAAAUUCAUGAAGCGUUUCAUAUUUCU
Small nuclear RNA from Suncus etruscus (white-toothed pygmy shrew), 107 nucleotides. Lineage: Eukaryota; Metazoa; Chordata; Mammalia; Eulipotyphla; Soricidae. The record is from RefSeq and is a predicted model, not a curated record.